CCUACGGGAGGCAGCAGUGAGGAAUAUUGGUCAAUGGACGUAAGGCUGAACCAGCCAUGCCGCGUGCAGGAAGAAGGAUCUAUGGUUUGUAAACUUCUUUUAUAGGGGAGUAAAUGUAUACACGUGUAGCUAUUUGCAUGUACCCUAUGAAUAAGCAUCGGCUAACUCCGUGCCAGCAGCCGCGGUAAUACGGAGGAUGCGAGCGUUAUCCGGAUUUAUUGGGUUUAAAGGGUGCGUAGGUUGUUUGUUAAGUCAGCGGUGAAAGUUUGUGGCUCAACCAUAAAAUUGCCGAUGAAACUGGAAGACUUGAGUUUGUUUGAGGUAGGCGGAAUGCGUGGUGUAGCGGUGAAAUGCAUAGAGAUCACGCAGAACACCGAUUGCGAAGGCAGCUUACUAAGCCAUAACUGACACUGAAGCACGAAAGCGUGGGGAGCAAACAGGAUUAGAUACCCCAGUAGUC
Molecule: ribosomal RNA, 460 nt
Filed under: uncultured bacterium
Lineage: Bacteria
Description: partial 16S ribosomal RNA
Rfam family: Bacterial small subunit ribosomal RNA
Source: RNAcentral